GCGCUCGUAGCUCAAUUGGAUAGAGCGUCGGACUACGAAUCCGAAGGUUGCAGGUUCGACUCCUGCCGGGCGCA
This 74-nucleotide transfer RNA is filed under the name Phycisphaerae bacterium. RNAcentral describes it as "tRNA-Arg". It matches the Rfam family "tRNA". From Rfam's summary of the family: Transfer RNA (tRNA) molecules are approximately 80 nucleotides in length. Their secondary structure includes four short double-helical elements and three loops (D, anti-codon, and T loops). RNAcentral also lists the same sequence under 2 other names. The record is from RNAcentral. Lineage: Bacteria; Pseudomonadati; Planctomycetota; Phycisphaerae.